AUUGAACGCUGGCGGCAUGCUUUACACAUGCAAGUCGAACGGUAACAGGCCUUCGGGUGCUGACGAGUGGCGAACGGGUGAGUAAUGCAUCGGAACGUACCCAGAGGUGGGGGAUAACGCAGCGAAAGCUGUGCUAAUACCGCAUGUGAUCUGAGGAUGAAAGCGGGGGACCGAGCAGCAAUGUUUGGCCUCGCGCCUUUGGAGCGGCCGAUGUCGGAUUAGCUAGUUGGUGGGGUAAAGGCCUACCAAGGCGACGAUCCGUAGCUGGUCUGAGAGGACGACCAGCCACACUGGGACUGAGACACGGCCCAGACUCCUACGGGAGGCAGCAGUGGGGAAUUUUGGACAAUGGGCGCAAGCCUGAUCCGGCAAUGCCGCGUGCGGGAAGAAGGCCUUCGGGUUGUAAACCGCUUUUGGCAGGAACGAAACGGUGUCCGCUAAUACCGGGCGCUAAUGACGGUACCUGCGGAAUAAGCACCGGCUAACUACGUG
Molecule: ribosomal RNA, 492 nt
Filed under: uncultured bacterium
Lineage: Bacteria
Description: partial 16S ribosomal RNA
Rfam family: Bacterial small subunit ribosomal RNA
Source: RNAcentral